UCAUCACUAGACACUACGAAUAAAAUAAGGUAAUCAUUGUAACCAAAAAGAGUAAUUUCAACCUCAAGUUAAAAAGAAGAAGUUGAUUAUAUAACCAUUUUUAAUAACUGUUUUAAAACUGUUUAAUUUGUCGCUUGCGAAACAAUCAAGCACAUGGGUCAAACAUAUAUACUAUUUUAGUAUAGUAUGAAAUUGUGCAUUAUCAUUAUGAGCCACAGCUAACGACAAGUGCCUCAAAAUUUGAAUGAAUCUUAAAAAUAAAUAAAAACAUGACUGAAGAGAACCUUUAAAAGCAACAGAUCUAUGAGUGACAAUAACAAUCAUAUACAUUAACAAAACCGAUAUAUUUCUAUUUCAUAUGCAAUACAGAGUUGAUUCAGUUAGUUGUAAGAUGACACUUCGUUAAUGGAUCCGACUCCAGGUGUGGUUGGUUUUUUUUUUUUUUUUUUUUUUGUCAAACCCAGGUGUGGUUGGUUCUACACAUGAAAAAGGUAUUUUGCCAUAGCUGAAUAUAUAUAAUAGUAUGAUCAAGUUAACUUCUCGGUCAGAAUAAUAUAUCCACCUUUGAUAAAAAAAUAAAAUAAUAUAUCCACCAAAUAACAAAACUAUUUUUGAAACAAUUUUGUAAAAUGUGUGUUUAGCAAAACAAAAUAAUUGUGUAAAAUGUAUAACUACAGUCAAA
Molecule: long non-coding RNA, 682 nt
Filed under: Brassica napus (rape)
Lineage: Eukaryota; Viridiplantae; Streptophyta; Magnoliopsida; Brassicales; Brassicaceae
Description: long non-coding RNA (BNAP_LNC008839)
Source: RNAcentral